GCUCAGUUACUUUAAUAUGACAAAGUAGUAUUAGCAACUUUACUAAUAAAAUUUAAUGAUCAUUUGUGAAAUUAAUCAUUGAUGUAGUGGUUGUUUUAGUAUGAAUUUUGUUAAUUUAGUCAAUAGUUGCUGAAACAUAUCGAGUAAAAGUAGAUAUGAUUCUCUAGCACUAACCAGAAACAUUAGUAUUCAGGUUUAGAACGGCCUCCUAUGUAUCCGUCCUCAAGCCAAUGAUAAUCUUCUUUUAUUAUGUUAAUUCGUGUAUAAUCUAGUAGGCUUGAGAUAUUCUGGCAAACAAAAGUGAUAACUAAAGAGAGUAGCAGUUUUGAAGGCAUUAGUUGCAGAUAUCUUUGAUAUUCUUAGUUCAUUCAGGUUUUAUCUAUUGAGAACUAUAUGUAAAGAAGAUGUUGCUUGACAUAUUCAUUGUGUUGAGUUUAUUAGCACACUUGACUUUCUUUAUUCGAAACCAUUUUUCUUGGUGUUAAUUCUGUUCUGGGGGUCAGUAAGAAAUCCAUUUUUGUUCUAAAUGCUAGAGGUGUGGCAAUGGUUUUGUAGUGACUCUAAACUGGAUAGAGGAACUCUGUUGUGGCUGUCUUCUCUGGAAAAUGAGAGUUUGCUCAGAUGGUUUGACUGACUUAGUUUACGAAUAAGGAACGGGGAAAUUUGUGAAAGCGGUCUUAGUACCCUUGGCUUGCCUAUAAAAAAAGAAAAAUGGAAGGAACUUUUUAGCACUAAUGACUUGUUUGUUGGGUUCAAAGUAUAUGAAAAAAUGUGAAUGAAAAAUGAAGGAAAAAUGGUGGAGAGAAGGGAGACACUAAUUUAGAAAGUGUACUCCCAAAUUGGAAAGUUCAUUCUUUCUUUCUCCCACAUUGGUGGAAGAAGAAAACUUGUGAGUGUUUAAAAUAAGGAACACUAACUCCACAUGGUAAGUGAGACAAGAAAUAAGAGAUGCCUUGUGCCGUUGUUGUCGUCGUUCGGCAUCGGCAAAUGAUCGAUCGAUGAGAUCUAUCUUUUUGGACAAAGUUUGCCUCGCGCCGCUGCUGUCGUCACUCACUCGGCUUCGGAUUCGGCAAAUGAUCGAUCGAUGAGAUCUAUCUUUUUGGAAAAAGUUUAUUUGACAGAAAUUCAGUUUGAAAAUACCAAAGGAAAAAAUGCAACUUUUUUCUGUGUUUUGAUACUCCAUUUAUAUGCGUGCAUGCAGAUUCCGAAAUAGUGUUUCGAAACAGUGCAGUGCUGAAACGAAGGGAUGCAACCCUUCAACGAAAUGACACACUGAUUCAUGAAAUGGUAUGCCUGUUCGGAAAAGACACAUUCUUUGGACGAACAGACAUGGUUUUUCCAGAAAGGUCACACCUUUUAAGUGAACCAUUGCCACUUUUCAGAAGAGGCUCAUGUUGGCUAUAUAAACCUGCUUUCAUCCACAGGUUUAGGUAUGAAUUUUCUGAAAUACAAACUCUCUUCUUGUCUUGAAAAACUUCUGUGUGAUCUAUCAAACUGUUGAGUGAGUUCACUGAAUCCAACAAUUUGAGGUACCGUUAUUGUUCGGAUUGAAGGUCAUUUUAUCCUAGGAGGAAGAUUCCAAAACCUCAGAUACAGUGAGGGGAGUUAUACCUUAAGGACACUCCGUGAAUUCGGAGGACUUGGUCUUAAAUUCUGUUUCAUCUCUUUUUUGAAUCUUAACACACUUCUUAGAUAGAUUAUUCAUAAUCUAGAGUUGAAGGUGUUACAGAACUUCAUGACUGUUCUUGUCUUGGACUUGAACUAAUGUUGAAGUUUGUGUUUCUUAUAUACAGAUUCUUGUACCGGAAACAUUGAAAGACAACAAUCUUAAGGAAUAAUCUUUAGAAAAAGGAAAAAAAAUUUUUUUUGCUUGUUUGGUGAAAUUUUCUUUUCACUAAAGUUUUUUUUUUUUUGGAAUCUGUAUUGCUUGAUUUCUUGAGUUUAAAGCUUUUAGCUUUCUACUCCGUUUGAACUUAACUAGUGAUUUGAAGACAUAGAAUAUUCAUCACAAGUUAAAGAUCACUCGGUUGACGAUUGGAAGUCAUAAAAACUUCAUCGUUAAACUAGAAACAAGAGGUGUUUAAAGUUGCUGCAACUUUAUUAGUAGUAUUUUGACAUACUAAAGGUUCUGUCUUGUUGUGACAGGAAAAUGGCGACUGAUAGUCAAAUGCAUGAUGCCGGAACAACUAUAGCGGCAACUAGUAUUGCCAUGACGAGUCGUACUAAUGCUCCGCAAGCUAUGGCACCAGCGGAGAAACCCGAAAAGUUUGCGGGUAUUGACUUCAAGAGAUGGUAGUAAAAAAUGUUCUUUUACCUCACCACUCUAUGCCUUCAAAGGUUCACUAGUGAGGAUGCUCCUGAGGUGACCGAGGGAACCUCGGACAAAGAGCAUUCAUGAUUGUAGAAGCUUGGAAACUCUUGGACUUCCUUUGCAGGAAUUAUAUAUUGAGUGGUCUCCAAGAUGACCUCUACAAUGUUUUACAGUGGAACUAAGACAUCGAAGGAAUUGUGGGGGCACUAGAACGAAAAUGCAAGACAGAGGAUGCGGGAAUUAAGAAAUUCUUUGUUGCAAGUUUCUUGGACUUUAAAAUGAUAGAUAGUAAAUCAGUUGUCUCUCAAGUGCAGGAAUUGCAAGUAAUCAUUCACGAUUUCCUAGCAGAAAGUUUGAUUGUGAAUGAUGCAUUUCAAGUAGCAGCGAUCAUUGAGAAGCUACCACUUAUGUGGAAAGACUUCAAAAACUACUUGAAGCACAAACGCAAGGUGAUGACUGUCGAAGAUCUUAUUGUCCGACUACGUAUUGAAGAGGAUAAUAAGGCUAUUGAGAGAAGUUCAAAAGGGAAUUCUACAAUUAAUGAAGCACAUAUUGUAGAAGAUGACCAAAACAAUUCUAAGAAAAGGAAAAAAGCUGAACAAACAAACCAUCAAUCCAAGAAGAAAUUCAAGGGAAAGUGCUUCAACUGUGGUAAGAUUGGCCAUAAGUCCACGGAUUGUCGUGCCCCUAAGAAAGGCAAGAAAAAGGACCAGGCAAAUAUGAUUGAGUCCAACAAAGAAUGUGAUGAUCUGUGUGCUAUGUUUUCAUAAUGCAACUUGGUGGGAAAUCCUCGCGAGUGGUGGAUGGAUUCUGGUGCCACCCGCCAUGUUUGUGCCAACAAAGAGUUGUUUUCAUCAUUCACUCCGGCUCAAGUAGAAGAAAUGAUCUACAUGGCUAACUCCGCUACGGCUAAGGUAGAAGGAACAGGAAAAGUGGGCUUGAAAAUUCCUUCAGGAAAGGUCUUGAAACUUAACAAUGUCUUGUAUUUUUCGGAGUUACGUAGGAACUUAAUUUCUGUUUCACUUCUAGACAAGAACGGAUUCAAAUGUGUAACCGUUUUUGGAAAAGUUGUAAUUAGCAAAGGAGAAGUGUAGGUAGGAAAAGACUAUCUCACCGAGGGCCUUUAUAAGAUGAAUGUAAUGAAUGUUGAAAUCAAUAAAAAAUCAAAUUCUUCUUACUUGCUUGAGUCUUAUAAUUUGUGGCAUGAAUGUUUAGGCCAUGUUAAUUAUAAAACGUUACAAAAACUGAUUAACUUAGAGGUUUUGCCAAACUUUUGCAAUAAAUCAAAGUGUCAAACGUGUGUGGAAUCAAAGUAUGCAAAGCAUCCUUAUAAGUCCGUUGAAAGGAAUUCCAAUCUUUUAGACUUAGUACACACUGACAUUUGUGAUAUGAAGUCAACAUCAUCACGUGGAGGGAAAAAGUAUUUCAUAACUUUUAUUAAUGAUUGCACUAGAUAUUGUUAUGUCUAUUUGCUAAACAGUAAGGAUGAAGCAAUAGAUGCGUUUAGGCAAUAUAAAAUUGAAGUUGAAAAUCAGUUAGAGAAAAAGAUAAAAACGAUAAAAAGUGAUAGGGGCGGAGAAUAUGAAUCUCCCUUCGCCGAAAUAUGUGUAGAGAAUGGAAUUGUCCAUCAAACUACGACCCCAUAUUCACCUCAAUCUAAUGGAAUUGCAGAAAGGAAAAGCUGAACUUUGAAGGAAAUAAUGAAUGCCUUACUUAUUAGUUCAGGUUUAUCGCAAAACUUGUGGGGGAGACUAUCCUUACAGCCAACCGAAUACUCAAUAGAGUUCCCCAUAGUAAGAUACAAUCAAUCUCUUAUGAAAAAUGGAAAGGAAGGAAACCUAACUUGAAAUAUUUCAAAGUGUGGAGGUGUUUAGCAAAGGUCCAAGUUCCUAUGUCUAAAAGGAUUAAGAUAGGACCUAAGACGGUGGACUAUGUGUUCAUAAGAUAUGCUAAAAUUAGUAAAGCAUGUCGGUUUUUGGUUCAUAAAUGCGAACAUCUGGAUAUUAAUGAAAAUACGGUAAUUGAAUCAGAUAAUGUUGAAUUCUUUGAAAACAUUUAUUCAUAUAAAACUAGACAUGAACAGUCUAGUGGAGGGUCUAAACGACCUCGAGAUGAACUAAGUGAGAAUGUAUAUAAUGAUGAGAAUCUAAGACGUAGUACCCGUCAAAGAACGUCAACUUCAUUUGGAUUGAAUUUUGUAACAUUGCUCUUAGAAAAUAAGUCUCAAACAUCUUCGGACUCAUUCUUUUGGAAAGAGGCAGUCGAUAAUGAGAUUGAUUCAAUCUUAAGCAACCAUACGUGGGAGUUUGUUGAUCUUUCUCAAGGAAACAAACCUUUAGGAUCUAAAUAGAUCUUCAAAAGGAAAAUGAAAGCGGAUGGUACUAUUGACAAAUACAAGGCAAGACUUGUAGUAAAAAGCUUUAAACAAAAAGAAAGCCUUGAUUACUUUGAUACAUACUCGUCGCUAACAAGGAUAACGUCGAUUCGAAUGUUAAUUGCCUUGGCAGCGGUAUAUGGUCUUGAAAUCCAUCAAAUGGAUGUAAAAAUCGCAUUCCUAAAUAGAGAAUUGGAGAAAGAAAUUUACACGGAACAACCUGAGUGUUUUGUGGUUCCAGGAAAAGAAAAUAAGGUGUGUAAACUUAUUAAGUCACUUUAUGGACUAAAACAAGUACCUAAGCAAUGACAUGCAAAGUUUGACCAAACCAUGUUGGCAAAUGAAUUCAAAAUUAAUGAAUGUGAUAAAUGUGUUUAUAUUAAAGACACUCCAAAUCACCAAGUCAUUGUGUGUUUAUAUGUGGAUGAUAUGUUGAUCAUCAGUAGAGACAUUUCAGACAUAAAUGCAACGAAACGAAUGCUCGAGAGCAACUUUGAUAUGAAAGACCUUGGAGUUGCAGAUGUGAUCUUAGGUAUAAGAAUCUAUAGAACUCCACAAGGGUUGGCAUUGUCACAGUUUCAUUAUAUCGAAAAGGUACUUGACAAAUUCAAGUAUAUGGAAUUCGGUAUUGCCAAGACUCCUUUGGAUGUGAGCUUUGCACUUGGAAAGAAUGAAGGUGAAAAUGACUCACAAUUGGAGUACGAAAGAGUAUUGGGAUGUUUAAUAUAUAUAAUGAACUGUACACGACCAGACAUAGCAUGCGCCAUAAGUAAGUUGAGUCAGUACACGAGUAAUCCUAAUAAAACUUAUUGGAUGACAAUGAAAAAAGUUUUGGGGUAUCUUAAAUACACUCAAGACUACGCUUUGCAUUAUGAUAAAUAUCCCGCGGUACUUGAAGGAUAUAGUGAUGCAAAUUGGAUCACCGGAUCAAACGAAGUAAAAUCUACGAGUGGAUAUUUAUUUACUAUUGGUGGAGGAGCUGUCUCUUGGAAAUCAUCCAAACAGACUUGUAUUGUUCGCUCUACAGUGGAAUCUGAAUUUAUCGCAUUAGAUAAAGUCAGUGAAGAAACAGAAUGGCUCCGGAAUUUCUUGAAAGAUAUUCCUUAUUGGCCCAAACCAGUGGCACCAAUAUGUAUACACUGUGAUAGGCAAGCAGCGAUAGGUAGGGCAGGGAGCAUGAUGUACAAUGUUAAAUCACAUCACAUAAGACGGAGACAUAAUACCGUUAGAGAACUUCUCUCUAGUGGAAUUAUCACUGUUGACUAUGUGAAGUCAAAGGAUAAUGUGUUAGAUCCACUUACAAAAGGCCUAUCUAGAAAAGAAGUGGAAAAGACAUCCAAGGAAAUGGGUUUAAGGCCUAGAACAAGUCAGCAUGACGGUAACUCUACCUAGCAGAAUGGAGAUCCCAAGAGCUAGGUUCAAGGAGAUCAAACAAAGCUGUGUGGUUCAACAUUGUCAAUUACCCAACCUAUUCUCAUGAUGUAGACAAUGUUUAGUAAACAAGGAUAACACUUAAGGUGAAAAGUUUUUUAAUGAUUAUCUAAAUUUGGCAGAUUUGAUCAAAUAGUUUAAUCUAUAGGAUUGAACGUUUAGAAAUCACCUAUGUGAAGGCGAAGUGGAAGCCGCUUUAAGAAAAAUGUUAGUAAAGGUCUAUUCUCUAAGCUCUCAUAAAAUCGGGACGUGUUCAGGGCUAAAAAGAACAAAAUUGUGAGAACCAUAAAUGGUAAAAGGCUGGUUGUGUGACAUGUGUUGUCUAGGUGUACACUAAAGCUCGACGGUUCAAAGAUAUCAAAUCUACCGAUUGAUCAAGUGCAUCCGAUGCAUGUUCACUACAGAAAGUUCAAAAGGAAACCCACUUAUUCAGAUGCAAUCAGUCUUUACUUGAUGAUCACAUACUUGUCCGUAAAAAUUUUAUGAAAAAUAGCCAUUUUCCAUUCAUGUGGGAGAUUGUUGGGUUCAAAGUAUAUGAAAAAAGUAUGAAUGAAAAAUGGAGGAAAAAUGGUGGAGAGAAGGGAGACACUAAUUUAGAAAGUGUACUCCCAAAUUGAAAAGUUCACUCUUUCUCCCACAUUGAUGGAAUAAGAGAACUUGUGAGUGUUUAAAAUAAGGAACACUAACUCCACAUGAUAAGUGAGGCAAGAAAUAAGAGAUGCCUCGCGCCGUCGUCGUCGCUCGCUCGGCUCGACUUCAGAUUUGGAUUUGUCAAAUGAUCGAUCGAUGAGAUCUAUCUUUUUGGACAAAGUUUAUUUGACAGAAAUUCAGAAAUUCAGUUCGAAAAUACCGAAGGGAAAAUCGCAACUUUUUUCUGUGUUUUGAUACUCCAUUUAUAUGUAUGCAUGCAGAUUCCGAAACAGUGUUUCGAAACUGUGCAGUGCUGAAACGAAGGGAUGCAACCCUUCAACGAAAUGACACACUGAUUCAUGAACUAGAAUGCCUGUUCGGAAAAGACACAUUCUUUGGACGAACAGACAUGGCUUUUCCAAAAAGGUCACACCUUUUAAGUGAACCAUUGCCACUUUUCAGAAGGGGCACAUGUUGGCUAUAUAAACCUGCGAGGUACCGCUAUUGUUCGGAUUGAAGGCCAUUUUAUCCUGGGAGGAUGAUUCCAAAACCUCAGGUACAGUGAGGGGAAUUAUUCCUUAAGGACACUCCGUGAAUUCGGAGGACUUGGUCUUAAAUUCUGUUUCAUCUCUUUUCUGAAUCUUAACACACUUCUUAGAUAGAUUAUUCGUAAUCUAGUGUUGAAGGUGUUAUAGAACUUCAUAAGUGUUCUUGUCUUGGACUUGAACUAGUGUUGAAGUUUGUGUUUCUUAUAGACAGAUUCUUGUACCCGAAUACAUAAAAGAUAACAUUGUUUGCAUACCUUUUUUAUCCUUUAUAUAAAUGAAGAAUGUCUAUGAAGAAGCAUUGGAUUUAAUUUUGUGGAACAGUUUGGAAUGUCUAGUGCGCUGGAGACUCUAUGUGGGCAGGCUUAUGGAGCAGGACAAUAUCGAAAACUUGGAACUUUUACUUACAGUGCUAUUAUUUGUCUAUUUCUGGUGUGCAUACCAGUCUCUUUUCUGUGGAUAUCCACAGAUAAACUUCUUAUAUUAAUGGGUCAAGAUCCUUCAAUAGCAGCUGAAGCUGGAAAAUAUGCAAUUUGGCUCAUUCCUACACUAUUUGCAUAUGCUAUUCUUCAGUCAUUUGUCCGGUAUCUGCAGGCACAAAGUUUAAUCCUACCAAUGCUUAUAAAUGCAGUUGCAUCUUUAUGCUUCCAAGUGACAGUUUGCUGGGCUUUUAUAUUCAAAUUGAAUUUAGGAAGUGCCGGAGCAGCGCUGUCAAUUGGUUUAUCCUAUUGGUUGAAUGUGAUCGCUUAUGUUUUAUGUGAAGUACGCAUCGGCUUGUGAAAAGACUCGAGCUUCAUUCUCUACGGAUGUUUUCCUGACUAUAGGGGACUUUUUCCACUUUGCGAUCCCAUCUGCUGUAAUGGUUUGGUAAUCUCAAUAGCAGAACGUACAUAUAUUUUUGUGAUUUGAGUUUAACCAUGAUUCUUGUCUUUUGAUCAUUAAUGUAUUACUUCAACUUCUUUUACGAACAUGGAUAUAGCUUGGAAUGGUGGUCAUUUGAGAUAAUUAUUCUUCUCUCCAGUCUGUUUCCAAAUCCGAUGUUAGAAACUUCUGUUCUAUCCAUAUGGUAUGCUUCCUUUUCUAUGUGAUCUUUGUUCUUUUUUUUCCUUUGAUGUUUGAAAUAACUAUAUAUUGAUGCAUUGUCAUGGUCUAAUCUCUUGGAGAGCAGCUUUACAACCACUUCUGUGCACUACCAUGUACCUUAUUCUUUU
Molecule: long non-coding RNA, 8502 nt
Filed under: Capsicum annuum
Lineage: Eukaryota; Viridiplantae; Streptophyta; Magnoliopsida; Solanales; Solanaceae
Description: long non-coding RNA (CANN_LNC002853)
Source: RNAcentral